CCCUGGAGGAAGGAGCUUUUUGCUGUGGAAGAGAGGAGCUGCCUGCUGAAGGAGCAGCACAUGACAUGGCUGUGGGAUGAAGAACCCUGACACGCAGAACAAGUGUUGGAACACUGGCUGGCUUAAGAUACUUACUUUAAAAUCCAGGGUCCACAAGAAUUUACACAUGGAAAGGAAAGCAGCUCACUCAUCCUCCAUAUAAUUCAACUCGCAGAUACUGCUUCUUGAGUAAAAUCAGAAUGACGGGAAAAUGUUAAGGCUUUUCAUUAAUCAGCUCACAAAACGAACCCCCUUCACCUUUCAUAGACAAAUGCUUGAAUCAGUAUUCUUGCAUAUAAUUAUAAUUUCUCUGCAUUUAUAUAAUUCACUCCAGACCCUUCCAGUCCUUUUGGGCCACAUCUGAUGAAGGAAAACAUUAAAGUGAUUUAUACUGAAGAGCGCUCCUGGAACUUCAUAUCUGUGGGUGCAGAGCAUAGAAGAAAGAGCACUUGAUUCAGAUGGGGGGCAGGGUGAGACCAGUUCAGGCAUCUUGUUAGGUCUCGAGAGGCAUGAGGUGGAGGCUUAUUUUUUGUCUCAUGUUGAAGACAACCCCAACUGAGUAAGCAGCAUGAAAAAUGGUAACUUGGUCAUCUGUGCUGGAGAGUCAAAGGAAGCUGGACAUAGUGGUAACCACAACACUCCUUUGUGGAGUUAUUGGCAUGCUUUUAACCAAGCUAUCCUGAAGACUUCUACCUUCUUUCAAACAUUUGAAUUAGAGGUUGGUAAAUACCACAAAAACCCAUCCAGACA
Long non-coding RNA from Alligator sinensis (Chinese alligator), 789 nucleotides. RefSeq lists it as uncharacterized. Lineage: Eukaryota; Metazoa; Chordata; Crocodylia; Alligatoridae. The transcript has 3 exons. The record is from RefSeq and is a predicted model, not a curated record.